UACGAAGGGGGCUAGCGUUGCUCGGAAUCACUGGGCGUAAAGGGUGCGUAGGCGGGUCUUUAAGUCAGGGGUGAAAUCCUGGAGCUCAACUCCAGAACUGCCUUUGAUACUGAAGAUCUUGAGUUCGGGAGAGGUGAGUGGAACUGCGAGUGUAGAGGUGAAAUUCGUAGAUAUUCGCAAGAACACCAGUGGCGAAGGCGGCUCACUGGACCAGCACUGACACUGAGGCACGAAAGCGUGGGGAGCAAACAGG
RNAcentral lists this ribosomal RNA (253 nucleotides) under uncultured bacterium. RNAcentral describes it as "partial 16S ribosomal RNA". It matches the Rfam family "Bacterial small subunit ribosomal RNA", at positions 524 to 776 of the family's 1533-position model. The record is from RNAcentral.